This 469-nucleotide ribosomal RNA is filed under the name uncultured prokaryote. Its description in RNAcentral is "partial 16S ribosomal RNA". The record is from RNAcentral.
CCCUAUGGGGUGCUCGGCGGUAUUGGUCUUGGAACCGGAUACAUCACGCCGGUAUCGACUUUGAUAAAAUGGUUUCCGGAUAAAAGAGGAAUGGCGACCGGCAUAGCGAUUAUGGGGUUCGGCUUCGCGGCGUUUAUCAGCAGUUUCGCAAUGAAAAAACUUAUGUCCAUCGAAUCAAUCGGUGUUGAAGGUAUGUUUUAUGUUCUUGGCGCAAUAUAUUUUGUUGUAAUGUUCAUCUCGGCACAAUAUUUAGCUCCGCCGCCACAAGGAUGGAUGCCUGCCGGUUUCAAGGCGAAAUUAGAUAACGGUACUAAAAAAAUCAAAGCUGACCUUUCGCAGCUAACGGCAAAUGAAGCGGUGAAAACAUUGCGAUUUUAUUUUCUGUGGGUGAUGCUGUUUAUUAAUAUUUCCUGCGGCAUAGCGAUAAUUUCGGUUGCCUCGCCGAUGGGGCAGGAAUUGGCGGGGGGGC